GUCUUUUUGAUUAUAAUUUAAAGUCUAACCUGCCCAAUGAAUAUUAAAUGGCCGCGGUAUUUUGACCGUGCAAAGGUAGCAUAAUCAUUAGUUUUUUAAUUAAAAGCUGGAAUGAAUGGUUGGACGAGAAAAUUACUGUCUCAAUUUAAUUUAAUUAGAAUUUUAUUUUUAAGUUAAAAAGCUUAAAUAAAUUUAAAAGACGAGAAGACCCUAUAGAGUUUAAUAUUAUUAAUAAUUAUAUUUUUUAUAAAUUUUACAAUUUUUUAUAAUAUUUUAUUGGGGUGAUAAAUAAAUUUAUAAAACUUUAUUUUAUUUUUUACAUAAAUAAAUGAUUAAUUGAUCCAUUAAUAAUGAUUAUAAGAUUAAAUUACCUUAGGGAUAACAGCGUAAUUUUUUUAGAGAGUUCAAAUCGAAAAAAAAGAUUGCGACCUCGAUGUUGGAUUAAAGUUAAUUUUUGGUGUAGAAGCUAAAAUAUUAAGUCUGUUCGACUUUUAAAACUUUACAUGAUCUGAGUUUAAACCGGCGUGAGCCAGGUUGGUUUCUAUCUUUAAAUAAAUAAAAUAUUUUAGUACGAAAGGACCAAAUAUUUAUAAUAAUUAUUUAUUUUUGAAUAU
Molecule: ribosomal RNA, 614 nt
Filed under: Ochthebius quadricollis
Lineage: Eukaryota; Metazoa; Arthropoda; Insecta; Coleoptera; Hydraenidae
Description: partial 16S ribosomal RNA
Rfam family: Bacterial large subunit ribosomal RNA (bases 378-536)
Source: RNAcentral